Molecule: non-coding RNA, 985 nt
Organism: Cinara cedri
Lineage: Eukaryota; Metazoa; Arthropoda; Insecta; Hemiptera; Aphididae
Source: the annotation of a GenBank genome assembly
AUCUCUCCUAAUAAAAUCAAUUAUUUCUAUAUCCAAUUUGAAUAAUUUUUUCAUUAUGCAUUCCUUCUUUUAAAUUUUCAUACUCAGUAAAAAAAAUAAACAUCUUUGUAAAACCAUAAGCUUCUUCACUCAACUCAGAAUCUAAAAUUUAUUGUCAGGUAUAUAUACAGUCAACUGUAUCAUUUUGAUUAUGAUAUACAUGAUGAUGAAUUUUUAAUUUGAAACUGGUGUAUAAUACACUUAUCAUAAUACUCCAGGCAAUUAUUUAUUUUUUAUUUUUAUAUUUAUAAAUAUAUUAUUUAGUUUAUACAUACAACAAUAAAAAGAUGGAUAUACUUUAUGGGUGGGUCACUGUUGUAAGUGAAGUAGGGAAGAUAGAGGGAAAAUUCAUUGCUAAUGAAAUAACCGAUUUUGAGUAGAGUUCAGUUAAUAGUGUUGCUUUAUCAACAAUAUAUAUAAAUCAAAUUAUGGUAAAUUACUUUUUUUAUUAUAUAUUUUCUUUAAGAAUAUUUAACAUUAUAUCUAUUUUCCUGCUUUUCCCAUUUAUUGGGGAAACUUUUGGGAAAGUUAAAAAAUGAUCUCUCUAAAGUAUCACCCUAGUCAGAUUUUCUUUAAGAAAAUGUUCUAUCAUUGUAAAUCAAUACAACAUUUCUGGUAAAAAAGUAGUCCACAGAAAGAAAAAGAAAUAAAUAUUUUAAAAUCUAUAUAUUCCUUGUCCACUCAGAAUCUAAGAAUAAUUAUUGAAUUGGAAUAGGUUAGCAAUAAUUUUAAGUACUAUAUUAUUAUUGAAUGAAUUGAAAGUUAAAUUUAAGUUUUUUAAUAUGUACUUAAAAACAUCAAAAUAGGUCGUAUAAAUAAUACUUUAAAUUGUUAAAUUGAAGGUUGUAUCUUAUAUAUUAUUUUAAUAUGACAAAUCUGUGAAAUGCAACAAAGUUUUCAAAAGUACUAAAUUAUUGAAACUAAACAAAACAUUUUUUCAGAUGUG